CGGACGGGUGAGUAACGCGUGAGAAUCUCCCUUCAGGAUGGGGACAACCGUUGGAAACGACGGCUAAUCCCCAAUGUGCCGAGAGGUGAAAGGGUUUCCGCCUGAAGAAGAGCUCGCGUCCGAUUAGUUAGUUGGUGAGGUAAGAGCUCACCAAGGCAGCGAUCGGUAGCUGGUCUGAGAGGAUGAGCAGCCACACUGGGACUGAGACACGGCCCAGACUCCUACGGGAGGCAGCAGUGGGGAAUUUUCCGCAAUGGGCGAAAGCCUGACGGAGCAACGCCGCGUGUGGGAAGAAGGCUCUUGGGCUGUCAACCACUUUUCUCAGGGAAGAAGUUCUGACGGUACCUGAGGAAUCAGCCUCGGCUAACUCCGUGCCAGCAGCCGCGGUAAUACGGAGGAGGCAAGCGUUAUCCGGAAUUAUUGGGCGUAAAGCGUCCGCAGGGGGCGCAUCAAGUCUGCUGUUAAAGGCUGGAGCUUAACUCCGGUAGAGCAGUGGAAACUGGUGCGCUAGAGGGCGACAGGGGUAGAGGGAAUUCCCAGUGUAGCGGUGAAAUGCGUAGAGAUUGGGAAGAACACCGGUGGCGAAAGCGCUCUACUGGGUCGCACCUGACCCUCAGGGACGAAAGCUAAGGUAGCGAAUGGGAUUAGAUACCCCAGUAGUC
This 662-nucleotide ribosomal RNA is filed under the name uncultured cyanobacterium. RNAcentral describes it as "bacterial SSU rRNA". It matches the Rfam family "Bacterial small subunit ribosomal RNA", at positions 99 to 795 of the family's 1533-position model. Lineage: Bacteria; Bacillati; Cyanobacteriota. The record is from RNAcentral.